AUCUAUUGCUCUAUGAUUUUUUCUACAUGAACAAAUUGAAUUUGAAAGCAUAUAAGACUAGAUCUCCAUCUUAGGCAGUGAAACUAGUAAAGAAGCUACUGUAACUCUGAAGAAAGAAUCCAAAACGCUGAUUUCCUAUAGAAGUUCUGAAAAAGUGACAUUUAACUAUGUGCUUGGACUGGAUCUAAAAUUUCUAGAUCAUCAGAUGAGGAGCAGCUCGAUUUGCAACAUUACCUGCAAAGGGUUAAAAACCAGCCUCUCUCUGUUCCUUAUCUUUUUUUUUUUUGAGGAAGAUUAGCCCUGAGCUGACUGCUGCCAAUCCUCCUCUUUUUGCUGAGGAAGACUGGCCCUGAGCUAACAUCCGUGCCCAUCUUCCUCUACUUUAUAUGUGGGACGUCUACCACAGUUUGGCGUGCCAAGCGGUGCCAUGUCUGCACCCGGAAUCCGAACUGGCGAGCCCCCGGCCACCGAAGUGGAACGUGUGCACUUAACCACUGAGGCAAUGGCCGGCCCCUCUCUGUUUCAUAUUGGUUGCAUGCUUGACUGCUGAAGAAGAAACAUAUGAAGAGUUUGGCCCACAGCAUACACAGCAUUGUAUACACAGUAACUCCUGCCAGCCAUGGUCACAUCAAACUUGUGCAAAGGGAGAGACUCCAAAGAGGCAUUAGGUGAACAGUCGUCUGAUUUUUCACUGUCAGUUUCAGAAACUGAGCAAUUGAAAUACAAGUUCUAUCAUUUAGUGAGGUGCAAGUCUUCUGGGUACUUAGAAGGGUAUCUAUCUAGAGAAACUGUGUGAAACCAGAGAUCUCACUAUCCAGUUGUGAAAAGGUGAGAGUCCCAUAGAAUGUGCCAAGCAGGGGAUAACGUUCACUAAAGAUAAAAUCCCGUUGCAAAAUAGUGAUCCAGUCAUUCCCUGUCACCAAAAGGUUCCACUCUGAAAAGCUCAGUCCUAGGAAUAUGUCAGAGUCACCAUAGAUGCCAAACACGUUUGCUGAUGAAUCUCUUCCCUGAAGUGAAAUGGCCAGGCCAAUGAGAAAUACAUCCCCUUGGCGACAGGAAACUUUUCCAGAAAGGCCAUACAGAUGCCAUUCUUAUCAAACUCUCCUCUCAAGCCCCAGAGAAAGUGAACCCCCUUCUUGUCUUCUGAAACAACCAGCACAACCCAGAUCCAAUCAAAAUGCAGCAGCAACAAGACCGUGCCAAGGGCCAGUGCUGUGUUUCUGGGGGCCCUCUGAUAGAGAGAUGGAAACUGGCCUUUGCCACUCAGGAUGGGAUCAAAGAAGCCAUAGGAGAGCUCAGUGGGAAAAGAAAAGCAUGAUCCCAUGUGAGAUCAGAGGAAGCAACAUGAGGACGGAAUGAAGCACAACUAUCAGCCCAUCUAACUUCAAUUAACUGUUAAUGGGCAUCAGGCCAAGCUGCCUGGUUGCUGUUCAGCUCAAGAGUUCCCUGCUGAAAGGAAUCACAGAGAAGCUUUGCUCAUUCCACUUUUAUGCCUCACUCUCCCUCUGAAAGUUCUCUGCAAAACAAUUGCCAGAGCUCAGAAAUCCCCAAAACUUUAGCCAGUUAGGGCAUGCCCAUUUUCUCCUUCUCUCUCACUCUCUGCAAGAGAUUGAAUUAUUGACCCAAAUCCUUCACCCCUCACUGUACUAUUGGCCUUUGUUUUAUAACUUUGCAGUUACUCUUGCUAGACGUGGAAUGUACUUCCCUAUCCUUUGACCUUGUUUAUACUCAGCGUGUGACUUGAUUACACCAAUGGUGUGUUAGUGGACACGACGUAAGCAAAGUCUUGAAAUGUGCUUACUCAAUGGGGAUUGACUUUCUGCACUUUUCCCAUUAUCAUGAGAAAAAUUUUUUUCCUAGGACUUUACUGCCCCUUCAGCCUGGGCUUCAAAAGGUGAACACGUACAGCAGAUGUGAGAGCAACCACCAGCAAGGAACAAAACCUGCACUCAGCAGAACCCAGCCUAGAUCCGCUGACCAGCCAACCAACAUAGAGAUACAUUCAUGAGAAUAAAUAAUUGCUGCAAGUUACAGAGUUCUAUAUAAGUUUUUGGAUGUAGUAUUAUGAUGCUAAUAACUAAUGGAUAUAGAAAUUGGUAAGUAGAAGCAGGCUUCUGCUUAACAAAAGGAUAGCAUAUGCUAGUAGUUUGGGAACACUGUUAUGGGUGGUGAGAGAGCUGUUAGAGGGGGUUGGAAAAUGGCCAUAAAGCUAUUAUAGGGGACAGAAAAUGGUGCCCCAUGUUAUGUAGACAGAAAAAGGUGAUGAGACUGUCAUCUGUGAUAAUUAAGAAGAUAGGAAAUAUACCUAAUAAACUCGUAGACUUGAGCAAAAUAGUUUUCCAGGCAGAAUUUGAGCUCAGAUACAUAUAAGAAAGAGAUGAGCUCAGAAAAGAACUGCCUCAUUUGCAAAAGUAGAAUUUACUGCAAAUAAACGGAGUCUAGAAAUUGUACUGUUGGAAAAUCAAACCACUUCUCAUAGAAUCGAUAGAUGUAGCUUUUAUUAUAUAGCCUCAUAAGAAGACCAAAUUCAGUAAAACACAGCCUCAGAGUAAAGAACAAAUGGUUUUAUUGAUAUUACAUUCCUUUAAGACCUCUGAAGAAAUAAAGUGGCUAGUAGCUUCUAGUAAGUUUCAGGGUAUGAUCCCACAACAAUCUGGGGUAUCUCAAGUACCAUUGAUUAAGUGUAGAAAGCGUGGUGUGUCUUAAAAAGAACUCUGAGCAUGGCUUUUGACACAUGGAGUUGACUAGAACCAAAUAUACAGAACACUCACAGUUUCUGAGAGUUUGGAUUGGCAAAAGCACUGGCAGCCUGUAAUAAAAGACACUUAGACUCUUUGGGAUGUGAAAUAUUUGGGAUGACCUCUAGAGCACCAAUUUUCUAUAAGUAAGAAACAACUCAGAGCUGGCCCAGUGGUGUAGUGGUUAGGUUAGUGCCGUCCACUUCCACGGCCCAGGGUUUACCAGUUUGAAUGCUGGUCAUGGACCUACACAUGACUCAUCAAGCCGUGUUGUGGUGGCAUCCCAAAUAGAAGACCUAGAAGGACUUAUGACUAAGAUAUACAACUCUGUACUGGGGCUUUGGGAAGAAAAAAAAAUAAAAGCGGAAGAUUGGCAACAGAUGUUAGAUCAGGGCCAAACUUCCCCCCUGCCAAUAAGAAACAACUGAAAAAUCUGAGGGCAUACUUUGGAACACCCUCCUUACAAGUGGCAGGGAAAUGAAUUGUGUGCUAUAGAGGAAAAAAAUAUAAGGAUACACUUCUAGGAAUUUAAACUGUGGCCUAAUCCAGAAGCUCUCUCUAUUCCUAAGACCUGGCAACACGGACACAGAUUUCAUAAUUGCAUGAAUCAGGGACUGCCCUGUGCUUCCCAGUCUUCCUUUUAUGAAUGGAAGUGUUUACUGCAGAUCUUGUUGCUUUUCCAGCUUUGUAUGCUGGCUGGGUGGGAUGCAGUGAAGUUGUUUUGUUAAUUCAUAGGUCUUAUAUCAGGAGAAAGUGCAUCCAGAACUGACGUGAAUGCCGAGAUCUUGGUCUUUGAGCCUGAUGCUGUGAUUCCAUGAGACUUCUGCGGCUCUUUGGGGUGGAGUAAGCAUAGUUUUCAUGUAGAGGAUCAUGAAGAAUUGUGGUCCAAAAGCACAGACUGUGGUAGAUUGAAUUACCAGUCUCAAUUAUUAUCUCCUUCUAUACAUGCCCUUUGCCGUGUAACUUUUAGCUCCUCCUAUUAUAGGUGGAAAGUAUUGCCUUACGCUUUGACCUUAGGUCUGGUCCUAUAACCAGCUUUUGCCAAUAGGAUAUUAGUAAAAAUGAGUGAGCAAGGGUUUGAGACAUGCUUGUCCAAUUGUGCUUGCCCUGUUAAGCUUCCACCGUUGAGAUGAAAAGAGUUUCUGCUGGGUAGCUGCUUCUGUUCUAGUCUGGGCCUCAGAAUCGACAGAGGUGGAGAAAACUUGAGCUCAAGACAUAGCAUGGAGCUAAGCUCAGUCAAAUCCACAUCUUGAAGCAGAGCAAGCAAGCUGACCCAUGGCUCACACGUGCACGAAUGAGAACGAUUAAUUGUUUUAAGUCAUUCAUCUUUAGGAAGUUUUGUCCCACAGCAUUAAUAUUGUUGUGACAAUAGGUAGCCAAGACACCCACCCCUACUCAAAUUAAGGAUGGACACACACACACACACACACACACACACACACACUCCCUCUCACACAAACUCUGUGUUAUAUUUGUGUCUCUGUGAAAUGAACUCUCUUGUUUCUUCUUACUUUUCUUAGGCACCUAGGAGCAGCACCCAAGGAGGAAAGAUUCCAUUCCUCCCCACGCCAUCACACCUUACCUGUGGGUAAUUGUAGCGUUCCAGCAGUGUCCCCAUCUGAGCUGAAAUGGCCCAUGUGGUUCCUGCAAUAACCACUACAGAACUGCUCUCUCUCACACAGCCCAAGGCCACAUGAUUUCAUCAGAGCCCCUGGAGAGCACCCCCAAAGACCUUCCUCUUCUGAAGCAAAGGAUAAUUUCAACUGUAUUCAUGGGCAGGUCCAAGGAAUCCUUCCUGAGGAAAUGGCAGUCAGCUGAAUGUUACUCAGCCUUACAGAGGAAGCAAAUUAUGACACAUACUGCAACAUGGAUAAACCUUGAGGACAUUAUCCUAAGAGAAAUGGGCCAGUGACAAAAGGAUAAAUGCUGUAGGACCCCACUUAUAUGAGGUACCUAUUAUAGUCAAAUUCAUAGAGACAGAAAGUAGCAGGGUGGUGGCUAGAGGAUAGAGUGAGGGAGGGUGGGUGUGAGUUAGUGUUUAAUGGGUCCAGAGUUUCAGUUGGGUGAUUCUGAAGUUCUGAAGGUGGAAGGUUGUGAUGGUCUCACGACGAUGGGAAUGUAGUUAGUCCCUCAGAACUGCACACUUAAAAAUGGUUAAGAUAGUAAAAUUUAUGUUAUGAUUUUAUCACAAUUUAAAAAUAAUUAAUUUCAGAAAGAGCUUAUGUUUAAACACUGGACUGAACUGGAGAGCCACUUUCUUAUCUCACGUUAUGGAGUGAACUGUGUCCACCUCAAAUUCUGUGUUUAAGUCCUAACUCCCAACGUGACCGUAUUUGGAGAUAGGCCUUUAAGGCAGUCAUUAAGGUUAAAUGAGGUCAUAACGUAGGGUCAUAAUCUCAUAGGAUUGGUGUCCUUAUAAGAAGAGGAAGAGACACCAGAGCUCUCUCUCUCCCUGCAGGUGCACAGAGGAAAGGCCAUAUGAGCACACAGAGGGAAGGUGGCCAUCCACAAGCCAAGAGAAGAGGGCUCAAAAUGAAACCAAUCCACCUGGAGCCUGGAUCUGGGGCUUUUAGCGUAUAUAACUCUGAGAAAAUAAACUUGUGUUGGUUAGACCGCCUAGUGUUUCAUAUUUUGUUACAGCAUCCUGAGCUGACUAAUUCAUCUCAUAUGGGCACAUUCCUUGUUAGGAUUCUCUUACAGAGAAUAUCUUUCCAAGAUGAAAUUAAAGGGAAGUGAAUUCUCUCUUCAUUUCUUAAAAAUCACAAUGUGUAUCUGGGGAAUAAGAAAUUGUGGAAAAACAAGGUGAAAUCCCCCAGGGGAAUGAGUUCCAGCAAUUCUCAUGACACACAGUGUGGCCUAACUCCCUAGCUUGUUGUUUUAUGUGCCCGGAGAAUCUGAAGAACAAGGCCAUCUGGAUCUCUAGACUUGAGUGCUGCUUUCCUGGAAUCCCCCCUUGGAGCCCAGCCAUGUUGCAGGCUGACCCCAACCACCUGGAGGAGCCACCUGGGAGCACUGUGGUCCAUAGCCCCAACUGAGCUCCAGCCAGGUGAAUGUGCCUUCUUGGAUGUUCAGUCCAGUUGAGAGUUGUGGUGGGCACAUCCUGCACACCAUCUGAAUGGCAACUCUGUGAAAGGCUCCUAGCAAGACCUGCCCAACCAAACCCUUCCUAAGCUCCUGACCCACAAAACAAUUACCCAAAUAAAAUGGUUGUUGUAAGUUGCCAAGUUUGAGUUAAUUUGUCAGGUAGCAAAAGAUAACAGGAACAACCACCCAAAACAGAUGUGCAUUUGCCAGGGCCAAGGGAACUUACAGGGAACCACAUGUGAUAUUGGAGGAAGCAAAAAACCUUUAAGUUACAGUGAAUCACUGGAAGCAGCAGUGGGGUUGUGGGUCAGCUCAGAGGAAGGAGUGUUGAGGUCUAAGCAGGAGUGUCCUUUGGAGUCACAUGGUUCAGGGCAAAAGGGAAUGACAGCAUACUGAGAUUAUUAAGCACUAUUAUGUGUUGGGUCAGCUUGAUGCUAAGCCUUUGUGUUCCCAUCAUAUGCCUUUCAGUAGGGCACAUUUUGGCUGCAGGCUGUGGUAGACAGCUUUCAAAAACACCCCCAAUGAUUUUCUGCUCCUGGCAUUCACACUACUUUGUAGUCUCCUCCCAAAUAAGUCAAGUUGACCUGUGAAGCCACUAGGACAUUGUGGGCAUGAUGGUGUGUGAUUUCUGCUUCCUCCUAUUUGUCUCAGUUCUAAUUAUCUUCUGCAUCUUAUACAUAUUACUCUACGUGAAGUGAGUGAGAGAUGUUUCAAUUAUCUAUUGUGGCAUAAUAGACCACUCCAAAACAGUGAGUAAUAUUGAUCGUUUAUGCUGUUCAUGGAUCUGGGGUUGACUAGGCUCAGCUGGG
RNAcentral lists this long non-coding RNA (6631 nucleotides) under Equus caballus (horse). Its description in RNAcentral is "lncRNA (ENSECAG00000055794.1)". The record is from RNAcentral. Lineage: Eukaryota; Metazoa; Chordata; Mammalia; Perissodactyla; Equidae.